Molecule: ribosomal RNA, 507 nt
Filed under: uncultured bacterium
Lineage: Bacteria
Description: partial 16S ribosomal RNA
Rfam family: Bacterial small subunit ribosomal RNA
Source: RNAcentral
ACGAACGCUGGCGGCGUGCCUAAUACAUGCAAGUCGAACGCUUCUUUCCUCCCGAGUGCUUGCACUCAAUUGGAAAGAGGAGUGGCGGACGGGUGAGUAACACGUGGGUAACCUACCCAUCAGAGGGGGAUAACACUUGGAAACAGGUGCUAAUACCGCAUAACAGUUUAUGCCGCAUGGCAUAAGAGUGAAAGGCGCUUUCGGGUGUCGCUGAUGGAUGGACCCGCGGUGCAUUAGCUAGUUGGUGAGGUAACGGCUCACCAAGGCCACGAUGCAUAGCCGACCUGAGAGGGUGAUCGGCCACACUAGGACUGAGACACGGCCCAGACUCCUACGGGAGGCAGCAGUAGGGAAUCUUCGGCAAUGGACGAAAGUCUGACCGAGCAACGCCGCGUGAGUGAAGAAGGUUUUCGGAUCGUAAAACUCUGUUGUUAGAGAAGAACAAGGACGUUAGUAACUGAACGUCCCCUGACGGUAUCUAACCAGAAAGCCACGGCUAACUACGUG